CCUACGGGAGGCAGCAGUGGGGAAUAUUGGACAAUGGGCGAAAGCCUGAUCCAGCCAUGCCGCGUGUGUGAAGAAGGCCUUCGGGUUGUAAAGCACUUUCAGUGGGGAAGAAAGCCUUGGGGCUAAUACCCUCGAGGAAGGACAUCACCCACAGAAGAAGCACCGGCUAACUCCGUGCCAGCAGCCGCGGUAAUACGGAGGGUGCGAGCGUUAAUCGGAAUUACUGGGCGUAAAGCGCGCGUAGGCGGUCUGAUAAGCCGGUUGUGAAAGCCCCGGGCUCAACCUGGGAACGGCAUCCGGAACUGUCAGGCUAGAGUGCAGGAGAGGAAGGUAGAAUUCCCGGUGUAGCGGUGAAAUGCGUAGAGAUCGGGAGGAAUACCAGAGGCGAAGGCGGCCUUCUGGACUGACACUGACGCUGAGGUGCGAAAGCGUGGGUAGCAAACAGGAUUAGAUACCCCAGUAGUC
RNAcentral lists this ribosomal RNA (465 nucleotides) under Vreelandella stevensii. RNAcentral's name for it is "partial 16S ribosomal RNA". It matches the Rfam family "Bacterial small subunit ribosomal RNA", at positions 338 to 795 of the family's 1533-position model. The record is from RNAcentral. Lineage: Bacteria; Pseudomonadati; Pseudomonadota; Gammaproteobacteria; Oceanospirillales; Halomonadaceae.